GUCAACAGGCAGAGCUCCCACCAUGCCCACCACCUUCUCUUCAGACUCAGCCACCCAGAAGCAGGAGCCACGCUCACUCAGGUGACCAAGUUUGGAUCAAGGACUGGAACUCGGCUCCCCUACAACCAAGGUGGAAAGGACCCCAAACUGUCAUUCUAACAACUCCAACCGCCGUGAAGGUCAAGGGAGUUCCUGUGUGGAUCCAUCACAGCCAUAUUAAACCUGCAGCACCAGACACCUGGGAAGUGAAGCCCUAUCUCCAUAACCCAUGCAAGAUUACCUUAAGGAGAACUGAGACAUCAAGCCCUGCUCCAGUCACACCCCGGAAGCCGACUGGUCUACACACAGCCAAAGCAUGAGGACUGCCCCCAUGGGACCGGUACUCCUUCUGUUUGGACUAUGGACUUGUAUCUUUGCUACUCCAGUAGAUGUCAACCUUCCAUCCAAGGAUGGUUCCCAGUGCAUACAUAAGAUUACUAAGGUAGAAUGAAAGGUUGCCACAGUCCUCUUGUUUUAUAGUUAUGAAGGCACUAGAGCCCUCAGAAGAACUUGUUUAUAUAAUACUACCCAGUACGGGAUGUGCAGCCCGGGGAGCAACCAACCUGAUGUAUGUUAUAACCCAUCCGACCCUACCAUGUCCACCAUACUCGAAAUAAGGCUGAGAACUGGUCCUUUUUUAGGGGACACAAGUAAUUACUAAAGCUGAGGAGAAAAAAAAAAAAAAACCUCAGCAGGUCACCAUAAAAUUCUGUGCUUGUGCAGCUGUCAAUAGUAACAAGCAAGGUCUGGGGUGUGGCUCUCUUGGUUGGGAGAGAAGCUAUAUGGCAGAGCAUAAAUACAUCUGUCAUAACUGAUGGCCAUGCAGCAGUGGUUGUGACUACUGGUCAUGUGUCAUCUGGGCCACUUGGAAGAAUAAUAAAAAUGACCCAGUUCGUCUCCGAAAGGGGAGGAAUAACUUCUCCUAGCCCUCUGGCCAUUGUAAUCCAUUAAAAUUGACAAUCACCAAUCCUCUGGAUCCUUGUUGAAGGAAAGGGAAAUCUGUAAUAAUGGGAAUUAAUAAAAAAGGACUGGACCCCAUGGUUAACAUUCUAAUUCAGGAAGAUAUCCUGAAACAAUCAUGCCACCUGGUGUUUCAAGCUUUUUAUAAUAUAUUAAAUGAACCAGUUUCAGAACUCUCCCAGAAAAAAAGAAAGAAACUUGUUCUUUCAGUUAGCUAAAAAGUUGGCCAAGACUUUAAAAGUGCAUUAUUGUUAUGUGUGUGGAGGAACAACUAUGGGAACCGGUAGCCAUGGGAAGCAUGCAAGCUGUGCCUGCCGACCCUGUCCCUAAUGCGACUCAUGUGCAAAAGGGCCUGAGUAACAGCUUCUGAAUCUUAAAAACCUCCAUCACUGGACACUAUUGUCUGGCCAGAAUAGGAAGGGGUAUAAUAGUCCCAGUGGGAAAGCUGAACUGUUUGGAACAGAAGCUAUGUAAUGGAACCAGUAAAACAAUCACUUGGUGAAGUUUAAAUAGGACCAAGACCAACCCUUUCCAAAAGUUUCUCACCUUACAGGCGGCCUGACCCACCUGGAACUCCAUGAGGACUGGGUAGCACCUUCUGGCUUGUACUGGAUAUGUGGGCACAGGACCUACACCAAACUGCCAGACCAGUGGAUGGGCAGUUUUGUCCUUGGCACUAUCAAGCCCUCUUUCUUCCUGUUACCCCUAAGAACUGGGGAGUUGUUAGGUUUUUCUGUCUAUUCUUCAUGAAACAAGCAAAGCCUAGUUAUAGGGGACUGGAAAGAUGAUGAAUGGCCCCCUCAGAGAAUAAUACAAUACUAAGGGCCAGCCACAUGAGCAGAGAAUGGCUAUCGUACUCCAAUCUAUGUGCUUAAUCAAAUCAUUCAAUUGCAAGCUGUCCUAAAAAUCCUGACCAACAAAACUGGCCAGGCUCUAACUGCCCUGGCACACCAGGAGACCAAAAUGAGAAAUGCCAUCUACCAAAAUAAACUGGCUUUAAAUUACUUACUGGCAGCUGAAGGAAGGGUAUGUGGAAAAUUGAACUUAACCAACUGUUGCCUGCAAAUAGAUGACCAGGCUCAGGUGGUUGAAACUAUUGUAAGGGACAUGACAAAACCGGUGCAUGUACCCAUACAGGUCUGGCAUGGGUUCAACCCUGGAUCAAUGUUUGGGAAUUGGUUUCCUGCUAUAGGGAGGACUCAAGACUAUUGUCGUGUGUUACUGAUAGUAGGAGCAUGCAUAUUGCUCCCCUGCUUAAUGCCCUUGCUCCUUCAGAUGGUGAAAGGAUUUUUUACUGCUGUGGUUCAAGAAAAAAUGUCAGUGUAUGCCUAUCACAAGAAUCACUACCAAUCUGCUUCACUAGAAUACACUGACAGUGAGGUUUCUCACUAAAAGUAAGAGUGAGAAUUCUCACUAAAAAAAAGAGGGGGGUGAGAUUCUCAAAGCGGAGGGUGAGAGGGGAGACCCCCUCACCUCCUUCUGUUUCCCAGUCUCUGCCUCCUCCCUCCUCUCCCCUCCAGAUGGGAAGGAGGGUGAAGAAGAACAAAAAAAACACCAAAGAACUGGGAAGAUGACUCCCUUUUUGGUUCCCAGUGUCUCUGCUAUCUGUAAAACUUGAAAAGAGUUGCAAAUAAAUGUUAUCCCUACUGGCUGGAGCCUGGCACUGGGUCACACCCCCAUGUCUCCCUUCUGGAAACACCUCUGCCAACUAAUAGUUUAUUGCCUUUGUCUUGCCUCUGUAAGCCCCCUACCCUGCCAGUCCCUGCUCAUGCUGCAUAUGAAUUAGCAAAUCAGUGAAGCCAAAAGAUUGUAAGGUUGGACAUCCAGCAAAUGGACAAUGACCUGGUUUCACCUCAGUUUCCCCUUUAGCGUUGUAAGCCUAUAAAAGGGGAGAGAAGCUGCUUCUCGGGGAGCUUGGUGAAUAAGGCAGUAGCCCUGCCGCAGCUCCCAGCAGAAUAAAAAGCCACUUCCUUCCUCA
Molecule: long non-coding RNA, 2977 nt
Organism: Cebus imitator (Panamanian white-faced capuchin)
Lineage: Eukaryota; Metazoa; Chordata; Mammalia; Primates; Cebidae
Exons: 2
Source: RefSeq, a predicted model, not a curated record